UGACUCGAUUCAAUCUAAGAUGGGUAUAAGUACAGAAAUUUUAAUUAUCGGGUGAGUACGAAUAUGAGCCGACCCCAUCCAUAUUCAACCUAUUCCCAUUCCUAAGACUAUAGCCCUUUGGCAUCGCCUGCUCAAUGCCCAUUUAUGCUCAAGUGGUAUUCUGUUGUUUGCCACGUAGGUUAGCAAUGUUCGAAGAGAUCCAUCUUAGGAAUUUGGUGACCCGCCAUCUCCCUAUCUCUCUCUCUCUCUCUCUAUCUAUUCCUCUACUUCAUGUCACGAAAGCCUUGUGUACCUUUUGUUGUUAGCAUAUACCAUAUAUGAUAUACCGGAUAUGGCUUUUUUUGGGAUUAUUCUUAAAUAUAAUAUAAUAAUAUAACAAAUUUUAAUAAAUUAAAAGCUUCGAUUGUCAAUUUUUUUUGCACAUUAAGUAUGAAUAUUAAUAAUGGCCAAUUGAAAUUCCCAUC
Molecule: long non-coding RNA, 464 nt
Filed under: Elaeis guineensis (African oil palm)
Lineage: Eukaryota; Viridiplantae; Streptophyta; Magnoliopsida; Arecales; Arecaceae
Description: long non-coding RNA (EGUI_LNC005293)
Source: RNAcentral